CUCUCUGUCUCAAAAAUAAAGAAACAUUAAAACAAAAUAAAAUUUAAAAAGAAGUUGAUUAAUAAAGGGGAUUCCUCCAUGGGCCAAGGUCAAGAUUUUCAAAUUAGUCCAUCAUAAUGUGUGUGGAUACUAAACACCCAGAUAUAUAACCAAACAGCUUGUGACAGACCCUGGCAGCUAAACAGCAGUCUUACAGAUCCAAGAUCAACCACUGCAAUCUUCCUGUGGGUAAAAUGAAGCAAUGAGCAAAAUGGAACAAAGUUUUGUGGGCACAGGGUGGCUCAUUUCUCAUGGCACUGAAGAUUUAAGAAGGGGGAACAGAGGACUACAAUGGGAUUGCAGAGUACUGGAAAUCACAGAGGAACACAGCCAGCCUGACCUGAAAUGUAUGCCACGGUCUACCAAAAACCUGGGCCCGAGACAGCACCCAAGUAACAGCCCAAGUCUGAACAAGCCACGAAAGAAACCAGAACUCUCAGAUUGCUCCAGAAGGACCUCCGAGAGGGCGGGGACUGCCAGCCUCAUGCGAUAGUAAAAAGGAACCAAGCGCUGAGAAGGAAGCCUGGGGGACUCUAGUGGAGCCAGGUGGGAGCCCCAGGCUUUCAGAGGCUCGCUCUCAAAAGAGAAAAACGGUCCUCUUCCCAGUCCUGGCGCUUCCCGCCCCAAUCCAAGCAGGGCCUGCGAGAAAUGCCCGCCGAGGACUGAAACCUGGCGGUCGGCACGACCCUCAGAGAGCAGGAGGCGCCCAACACGGAGACUCCACAUUUCCUGUUUCAGGGCUGGUAGGUGGAGGUGAGAGGCCGGCUGAUCACGCUCGGGCUUUUGGGCAACGUAGUUCUGGCACCGCAAGGAUGCUGGGAAGUGUAGUUUUCGGCCUGCAGCAGACACCCUGCCCAGCGCAGACUCCAACCUCGGUACUUUGAAGAUGGGCCUCUUCACAGACUGUCCCACAGUUCACCAGCAUGGUUCACUGCGGCUCCGAGCCUCCCACCACCCCCUUCCUAACCGGCGCACCACAUUACCGCUCUAAAAAAGCGGGACCUUGUCUGAGAAACUUCUGGCGCCCGUUUCCUAGCAAAUGAGGUAGAGCUCAACAGCGUAGGUCCGCCGGGAAAACGAGCGCCCAUUACGCGCCUGCGUGGGAGACUGAAUCACUUCCUACCGCCUAGUAAUCUGGGUCGUGAAAACCUCAUUCGCUGAGCAUUGCGGAGGGCGGGG
Molecule: long non-coding RNA, 1218 nt
Organism: Suricata suricatta (meerkat)
Lineage: Eukaryota; Metazoa; Chordata; Mammalia; Carnivora; Herpestidae
Exons: 3
Source: RefSeq, a predicted model, not a curated record